GGUAGAGUGGCUGAAUAUCACAGGCAUUAGACUGUAAAUCUAAAUAUAAAGGUAUAAAUCCUUUCUCUAUCA
This 72-nucleotide transfer RNA is filed under the name Pattonomys punctatus (Orinocan speckled tree-rat). RNAcentral describes it as "tRNA-Tyr". It matches the Rfam family "tRNA". From Rfam's summary of the family: Transfer RNA (tRNA) molecules are approximately 80 nucleotides in length. Their secondary structure includes four short double-helical elements and three loops (D, anti-codon, and T loops). Lineage: Eukaryota; Metazoa; Chordata; Mammalia; Rodentia; Echimyidae. The record is from RNAcentral.